UACGUAGGCAGCGAGCGUUGUUCGGAGUUACUGGGCGUAAAGGGUGUGUAGGCGGUUGUUUAAGUUUGGUGUGAAAUCUCCCGGCUUAACCGGGAGGGUGCGGCGGAAACUGGAGUGCUUGAGGGUGGGAGAGGUAAGCGGAAUUCCUGGUGUAGCGGUGAAAUGCGUAGAUAUCAGGAGGAACACCUGUGGUGUAGACAGCUUACUGGACCACUUCUGACGCUGAGACACGAAAGCGUGGGUAGCAAACAGG
RNAcentral lists this ribosomal RNA (253 nucleotides) under uncultured bacterium. Its description in RNAcentral is "partial 16S ribosomal RNA". It matches the Rfam family "Bacterial small subunit ribosomal RNA", at positions 524 to 776 of the family's 1533-position model. The record is from RNAcentral.